RNAcentral lists this ribosomal RNA (497 nucleotides) under uncultured bacterium. Its description in RNAcentral is "partial 16S ribosomal RNA". It matches the Rfam family "Bacterial small subunit ribosomal RNA", at positions 28 to 507 of the family's 1533-position model. The record is from RNAcentral.
GAUGAACGCUGGCGGCGUGCCUAAUACAUGCAAGUCGAGCGAACGGACGAGAAGCUUGCUUCUCUGAUGUUAGCGGCGGACGGGUGAGUAACACGUGGAUAACCUACCUAUAAGACUGGGAUAACUUCGGGAAACCGGAGCUAAUACCGGAUGAUAUUUUGAACCGCAUGGAUCAAAAGUGAAAGACGGUCUUGCUGUCACUUAUAGAUGGAUCCGCGCUGCAUUAGCUAGUUGGUAAGGUAACGGCUUACCAAGGCAACGAUGCAUAGCCGACCUGAGAGGGUGAUCGGCCACACUGGAACUGAGACACGGUCCAGACUCCUACGGGAGGCAGCAGUAGGGAAUCUUCCGCAAUGGGCGAAAGCCUGACGGAGCAACGCCGCGUGAGUGAUGAAGGUCUUCGGAUCGUAAAACUCUGUUAUUAGGGAAGAACAUAUGUGUAAGUAACUGUGCACAUCUUGACGGUACCUAAUCAGAAAGCCACGGCUAACUACGUG